AGUUUCUAAGGAUCAUGUCUGCGAGCCAGGAUUCCCGAUCCAGAGACAAUGGCCCCGAUGGGAUGGAGCCCGAAGGCGUUAUCGAGAGUAACUGGAAUGAGAUUGUUGACAGCUUUGAUGACAUGAACCUCUCGGAGUCCCUUCUCCGUGGCAUCUACGCCUAUGGUUUUGAGAAGCCCUCUGCCAUCCAGCAGCGAGCCAUUCUACCUUGUAUCAAGGGUUAUGAUGUGAUUGCUCAAGCCCAAUCUGGGACUGGGAAAACGGCCACAUUUGCCAUAUCGAUUCUGCAGCAGAUUGAAUUAGAUCUAAAAGCCACCCAGGCCUUGGUCCUAGCACCCACUCGAGAAUUGGCUCAGCAGAUACAGAAGGUGGUCAUGGCACUAGGAGACUACAUGGGCGCCUCCUGUCAUGCCUGUAUCGGGGGCACCAACGUGCGUGCUGAGGUGCAGAAACUGCAGAUGGAAGCUCCCCACAUCAUCGUGGGUACCCCUGGCCGUGUGUUUGAUAUGCUUAACCGGAGAUACCUGUGUGAGUAAUUCAGUUCUCCAAUCCCCUGGGUCACUUUGCUCUUGUGCACGCUUUCCAGUCUUUCAGCGUAAGCCAAAGUCAUUCCCAAGGAUGCUGGUUUCCCUCUGGGGAAGAGCUGCUCUGUGAUGGAGCCCAUGCGUGUCAUCUGAGCCUCUGGCUUCCCUGCCAGCGCAGCCCAGGCAGUGUCCUACUUCCCAGGGCUGUUGUCUGCCUGGCGGGAAGGUCCUGGGCAAAGGAUCAGUCUUUGUACUCUGAGAGCAGACUACUUGACCCCUGUCUGUUUUUUAUCAGCGAAGUUGGAUAUAUCUCUUCCACAUUUCCCUAAUUAUAUGCUAUAUAUUGGCUUUUUUUUCUUCUCUAGCUCCCAAAUACAUCAAGAUGUUUGUAUUGGAUGAAGCUGACGAAAUGCUAAGCCGUGGAUUCAAGGACCAGAUCUAUGACAUAUUCCAAAAGCUCAACAGCAACACCCAGGUAGUUUUGCUGUCAGCCAC
Molecule: small RNA, 1019 nt
Filed under: Pongo abelii (Sumatran orangutan)
Lineage: Eukaryota; Metazoa; Chordata; Mammalia; Primates; Hominidae
Description: retained intron
Rfam family: Small nucleolar RNA SNORD10 (bases 646-787)
Source: RNAcentral